GGUUAGCGGGUGUGUUUCAGACCAGGUUAGCGGGUGUGUUUAGACCAGGUUAACGGGUGUGUCUCCCUCUCAGGUGACCCUGGGGAAGGUGUUGAAGGCGAUCGUUGUCAUGCGUUCCCUGUUCAUUGAUAGAACCGUCGUACGAGGAUUUAACGAAAAUGUUUACAAUGAGGAUGGAAAGCUGGACAUCUGGACAAAGUCUCAGUACCAGGUGUUCCAAAAGGUAACUGACCACGCCUCCACCGCCCUGCUACACUACCAGCUGCCUCAGAUGCCCGACGUGGUGGUCAGGUCCUUUAUGGUGAGACACCUGUCUGUCUGUCUGUGGUCAGGUCCUUUAUGGUGAGACACCUGUCUGUGGUCAGGUCCUUUAUGGUGAGACACCUACCUGUCUCUGUCUGUGGCCAGGUCCUUUAUGGUGAGACACCUACCUGUCUGUCUGUCUGUGGUCGGGUCCUUUAUGGUGAGACAUCUACCUCAGAUGCCCGACGUGGUGGUCAGGUCCUUUAUGACCUGGUUGCGGAGCUACAUUAAACUCUUCCAGUCUUCCUGUCAGCGCUGUGGUCGUUUCCUGCAGGACGGACUUCCUCCAACAUGGAGGGACUUUAGGACCCUGGAGGCAUUUCACGACACCUGUCGCAUGUGAAGAAUCACUUCCUGUUUAUUUGUUUACGGACUAAAUUCUUUUUGUACAAACAAGUUUGAAUAAAGUUGGAUUAUAAUGUUUUUACAGUUGUGUAUUUUUCAUAUUUUCAAGUAUGAUCUUAAAGUUAAUUCAAACUUUCACUUAUUAUUAAUACCUUGUUAUACAUACUGACUGAACUCAAAUGGAUCAUUUAUUUUUUAUAACCAUAAAAAACACGAUUUUAUUAAGAUGCUGCUGAAUUGCAGCUGAAUUCUUUUUUCUAUUUCAUACAAUAUUCAAUAUAAAUGUACACAGUAAAAUCGACAGUGUCAAUGAAACACUUAAAGAGUCAAUUUUAACUGAUUCAGUGAACAUAUGGUGCCCAUCUACAGAGUGUUAAAGCUACACUGGACAUAGUGUUACAUUUUUAGAGUCAAUUUAACUCUGGUUAGAGUUAAUAUUUUACACUACACUACACUGAGAAGUGUUACUCAAAUUUGACACUAUGAUGUAAAUAGCACUCGUAGUGUUAUUUAAAUUUGACACUUGGUCUUUUUGAGUGUUAAUCAAAAUUAACUCUAAGUUACUCUUCAUGAGUGUUGGACCUACUUGACACCAAGUGUUUAAGAAAUUACUCUAAAUACAGUGUUGAUGUUUAACUGACUCCUGCAGUGUUAAAACAUAUUUACUCUCUUAGUGUAAUUCUUACCCAACACCUUAUUUUCAAUUUACUCCUUUUUAACUCUUCAACAGAACACUUUUAAGAGUUUUGCAUUUUCUACUUUACCAUGUCAGCUGACACUUCAAACAAUAAAACAAAAAAUGUUUGCAGGGGAAAAAACAAACACCAUUAUAUCCAUAUCU
Molecule: RNA transcript, 1489 nt
Organism: Anarrhichthys ocellatus (wolf-eel)
Lineage: Eukaryota; Metazoa; Chordata; Actinopteri; Perciformes; Anarhichadidae
Gene name: mediator of RNA polymerase II transcription subunit 27
Exons: 4
Source: RefSeq, a predicted model, not a curated record